This 467-nucleotide ribosomal RNA is filed under the name uncultured bacterium. RNAcentral describes it as "partial 16S ribosomal RNA". It matches the Rfam family "Bacterial small subunit ribosomal RNA", at positions 28 to 507 of the family's 1533-position model. The record is from RNAcentral.
GAUGAACGCUGGCGGCGUGCUUAACACAUGCAAGUCGAACGGAAAGGCCUCUGCUUGCAGGGGUCCUCGAUUGGCGAACGGGUGAGUAACACGUGUGUGAUCUGCCCUGCACUUCGUGAUAAGCCUGGGAAACUGGGUCUAAUACCGGAUAGGACAUUGGUUUGGAUGUUGUUGUGGAAAGUUUUUCGGUGUGGGAUGAGCUCGCGGCCUAUCAGCUUGUUGGUGGGGUAAUGGCCUACCAAGGCGUCUACGGGUAGCCGGCCUGAGAGGGUGUACGGCCACAUGGGACAGGAGAUACGGGCCACACUCCUGAGGGAGGCAGCAGUGGGGAAUAUUGAACAAUGGGCGAAAGCCUGAUGCAGCGACGCCGCGUGGGGGAUGACGGCUUUCGGGUUGUAAACUCCUAUGGCUAGGGACGAAGCGAUUUUGUGACGGUACCUGGAGAAGAAGCCCCGGCUAACUACGUG